This 492-nucleotide ribosomal RNA is filed under the name uncultured bacterium. RNAcentral describes it as "partial 16S ribosomal RNA". It matches the Rfam family "Bacterial small subunit ribosomal RNA", at positions 29 to 507 of the family's 1533-position model. The record is from RNAcentral.
AGUGAACGCUGGCGGUAGGCCUAACACAUGCAAGUCGAACGGCAGCACAGUAAGAGCUUGCUCUUACGGGUGGCGAGUGGCGGACGGGUGAGGAAUACAUCGGAAUCUACUUUUUCGUGGGGGAUAACGUAGGGAAACUUACGCUAAUACCGCAUACGACCUACGGGUGAAAGCAGGGGAUCUUCGGACCUUGCGCGAUUGAAUGAGCCGAUGUCGGAUUAGCUAGUUGGCGGGGUAAAGGCCCACCAAGGCGACGAUCCGUAGCGGGUCUGAGAGGAUGAUCAGCCACACUGGAACUGAGACACGGUCCAGACUCCUACGGGAGGCAGCAGUGGGGAAUAUUGGACAAUGGGCGCAAGCCUGAUCCAGCCAUACCGCGGGGGUGAAGAAGGCCUUCGGGUUGUAAAGCCCUUUUGUUGGGAAAGAAAAGCAGCAGGUUAAUACCCCGCUGUUCUGACGGUACCCAAAGAAUAAGCACCGGCUAACUUCGUG